AUCAUGCAGAACCUAGUGUACAGGGAUUGAUAUCUAUGUAUGUACCACUUGAUGAAUGGUUCACUUGUUGUUGAUGUUUGUAAAUUAGAAGAUGCCCAGGUUGGCAAAUUAGAAGAAAAAUGUGUCAUCACUUGUGGCAACUUCUGACCCUUUUUUCCUCAAUUCUCUCUCUUUUUUUUAACCCCUUUUGUUAUGCCUUGUCUUCAAGCUCCGAUUGUUUUUAACCCCUUUUGUUAUGCCUUGUCUCCAAGCUCCUAUUGUACUUCCAUCAUAAUAGCAAAUAACUUUUUACUGCUAUCAAUUUAGAUGAAGUUCAAGUUGUUGUGACUUGUGACAUUUGUAAUGUUGACAUAAUGAAAAAAAUGAUAUCAAAUAUCAAUGGAAACUUUGUUAUGAUUCUGAUAUGUCAUUCAUUAGAUGCAUGAAAUUAUUUUUACUAGAGGUAAACCUGUUCAUUGUGCAUGUGCUUAUUAUGUAGUUUUUAUAUUCCAGGGCCACUUGGAUGAACAAAUUUGGUUAGGUGUGAAGGUUGUUUUGAUAAAUCAUUAUAACUAGAUAAAAUGUAAAUAGAAUAGUCGUCAUAAAUUACGAAGAGUAACUAUAUGAAAUUUGUGCUAGAAUAUAUAUGAUAUGUCCGUUGAGAAACGGAUGGAGGCAACCAUGGCGGAAAGUGCUCUGGUACAGUGGCGAUGAGUCUUCAUGGUGGAACGAAAGGUGUCUGCAGACACGUUAGCGCUCCAAUGCUCAAAUCAGUGUAGGAAAUGAGAUGGAAUUUGUGAAAAGUGUGGGAAAAGUGAAUCAUACCUUGGGGUGAAGCUAAGUCACCCUUAAAUAGGCGUGUAUGAGAAUAACCGUCUCUGUGAAGUGCGGCGCUUCAUCAGGAGGCCGUUGGGAGAUGUGUAAGGUGUUUGAUGCACGGAGACGUGCUUAGGUGGAGUGGCGUGCACCAAAGUUAGGGUGUUUGUCCAAGUGACACGCGUUGCUCUGGCGUGUUACUUGUCCACGUGUCAGCGUUGGAUUGGAUUUAUAGCGGGUCCAGAACAAUAUAUAAAGAGAGAUAGUUAGGAUCAGUUGACAACAGGUGUCACCAAAUCCCAAGGGUUGUUUCAAUUUAAUUUAAAGGCUUCAAUUUAUUCAUUUCACAAUGUUACCUGACACUUUCAUCGUUCUUUUUACACUUUCAUCAUUCUUUUUACACUCUCUCCCCUUUUAUUUUGGAAAUCCACCACUGUCAAAAUAAAGGAAUAUAUAAAGAAUGAUGAAUAAUUGAGUGUAAUUGUUGAUUUUAAAGUUCAAUAUAACAUUAAUUAUUUAUUUUUCCAUAGUACCAUUAACUACUUAUUAAAGGGAGAAAUAACCCUAGAGCGCUUAGACGAGAUGACACGCGUCUCUUCAAAUUUAACCAAGGUCCUGAGUUCGAAUCCAACCUUGGGCAUGCAACAACGUUAAAAUUCUUAGGGAGAGUUUGCUGCCCAUUUGAGUCCCACAGGGCUCCAUUCUUGAGGAGAGUUUGCCGCCAAUUUAGGUCCAUAAGGCUCAAGAGAUUAGUAUCUGCAAGGGAGAAAUAGACUGAAUAGGAUAGUAAAUGAUCAAAUGUAAUAUAGGUAAAAUAUAAAUAACAGUAAAAAGGAAGUAUAAUAAUUUAACAAAGUAAAGUGUUAACUAAUGAGUAAACCACUAAAUUGAUCCAUGUAUUUUUAAGUCACUCUCAAAUUAGUCUCCAAUUCUAUUAAUAUUUCAAAAUAGUCUUUGAUCACAAGCUGUUUUAUUUUUCUCGUCCUGCGACAAAUCGGCCACCAAGUUUGCAAAAUCGGCCACCGAUUUUUCACGAGACAAAAGUAUCCAAAACCAGGUCAAAAUCGGCAACUGUGGUACAAAUCGGCCACCGAUUUUGACAGACAUAAUGCACAUUUUUGAGUCACUUUUUAACAUAUACCAUUGAUCAUAACUUCAUAAGAUAGGAGUAUGUGCCAAUUGCAAUUGGCAAACAAUUUAUUUACUAUUUUAGUCAAACGAAUUUUCACUUUUGAGGAAUCAACAUUGAAUUAUGAAAUGUUGAAAUGAUAUAAAACAUUGAAUUAUGAUCCAUGUGUGCUGUUUUGAUAAACAUGUUGCCUUUAGUUAAUUAAACUUGUCCAAUAAAGCAUAGACUCUUGAACAUGGAUCCUAGCUUAGAGCUAAUUGGUUCACAUUUCAAAGAUUCAUGCUUGUGUUCUUCUUGCACAACGUCAAAUGAAAUGUUUCAUAGUCUUUCCAUUCAUUUCUCUUAAUCUUAUCAUUUUUUGUGGAUAUUUUUUUAGAGGCACCACUCUCUUGAUUCGCCCAAGGCAUCCAAAUUUAAAGGGUCGGCCCUGUACUUACCUUUUCCUAUUUAUCUCUUAAAGUCUAUUUUUUUUAAUGAUGGUUCACUAAUAGGGGAUUUUAGAUUCAUGGCACAAUUCAUUACUGGACUUGGCUUCAAAUGACCACUUUAAGAGCAUGAGUGACUCUAAUAUGUAAACAUUGUGUUACAUAAUAUCCUAAAUGUUUUAUAUGAUAAGUCUUUGUCCAUAUUUGAUCCAACAAGAAAAUAUAAGUUCACUAAUGUGCAACUAAAUAGUAAUUAUAGUAGUCUUUUGUGAUCGUGUUCUAUUUCAUGUUAGUGUUGUCAAAGGAAAAAUAUCAUUUUCUUAUAGUAGUUUUAUACUAUCUUCCAAGAAAGAACUUGGUUAAUGCCAUCAUAGGUUGAUGUUAAUUUAACAUUUGGAAAUCCACUUGACCACCAUUUGUAUCAGUUUCUGUUGCAAUUUGACUCAAAAAUUGAAGUUUGGAAAAAGUGAAGAAUCGUGACACGAUUCUUAUGGCGUGUCACAAUUUCUGAGGCAGAAUGUAAGGUUGAUCCUAGAGGCAAAUCGUGACACGAUUUAGGGGUUUUUUGAAGUAAUUCACGAAGAAAUCAUGCAAAUCGGUAAAUUAAGAACAUCUGAAGAAAUGUCAAGAUUUUGGGAAUACCAAGAAUGAAGGUUCAAGAGGCCUAUGAGACUUUACAUAGGGAGGAAUUUUGUUCCCAAGUUUUGAGGCAAGUCAUUUGAAGAAAAAGACCUAAAAACGACAAAAAUCAGAGAAAUUGGGCCCAAGAAGGAGCAACCAUGCGCCUAGGGCAUGAUAAUUGUGCAAUAUGCGCCUAGGGCAUAUAGAAUGUGCCUAGGGCAUCUUAAAAAAUGCACUGAAUACGCCUAGGGCAUGCUAUAUGCUUGCCGAUCAUCUUAAAUGUGAGGGGAGCAAGCGUAAUUUUAUUUUUUUUAGUGGGUUUAGCCCGCGUUCUUUGCCCAAACCUAGUUAGAAAUCUCCACUAUAAAUACUAGUCUUCCUCAUUCAGAACUGUGGCAGUUCAAGAGGAAUGCAACUUUAGAGCUUCGGGAGAUAAUCUAUAUUUUCCUUUAUUUUCUAGGGUAUGUUUUUAUCUUUAGUAAUUUGUUUUUAGUUACCAUGUGUAACUAAAUCUUUUUAGGUUAGAAUUCUAAGAUGAACCUCUGUCUCUGUUUAUUUUUGUUGGAUAUUUAUUUAAUAUUAUAUGUCGUUUAUUAUAUUUAUUUUUUUGUUCGCUAUUAAUUUCCUGAUUCAGUUAUUUAUUUCAAAGGAGUGUAACCCUAGAUUAGGUACUUAGGUUAUGACAGGGCCUAACGUUGUUAUUACUAUCUUUAUAGCAUUAUGCUAGUAACUAUAUGUCUAGGAAGUAAGUGAUUAUUAACUAGCAAAAAAUGCCGAAAGAAAGUUGACCGUAAUAGUAACUACUUAGGAGGUGACAUUACUAAGACUGAGUAGUAACGUUGCUUAACCUAGGAUGUAACUGGUUAGUAAAUAGGGAAACAAGCGUCUUCGGGGAAUAAGACUUUAUCGAAUCACUCUCUUGAAACCCUUAGUAAGGUAGACGUAGAUUAGGGCUGCCCGUUUGUAGAACUACUAUGAGCGUAGAGAGAGAGUGUGGUAUGAUUGUCUUAAGAUUCAUAGAUGGGCUGACCUAAGGGAACCUUGGCCUUCAUUGCCUUGGGAAACACUAGAACGCCAAUUUAAGUUUAUGUUUCCAUUACCUUUGAAUUAGCAAGACGCCGCACCUAAGGAUCACCAUGUGAUCAGCAGAUGCAGUUAGUCAUCGGAGGGAUAGACCAAUUAGGUUAGUAAUGUCUCAACGACCUCAUCACUUGUAUAGUCUACCUAAGAUAAAUAAUUGCGACAUUGUUGUUACUUAAUAUCCAACAAUAUAAACAGGGGGAAUUCGAAAAAUUCUAACCGCUGUUUAUUUUUCUGCAACCAAAACAGGUAAACUUGCUCUGUUGCAAACAGAUAAAAAUUGCAACCUUUCUAACCCUUUUAUCUUUUACAUCGUCAACUUACAAAAAUAAGUAACGUGAGUUUUUUUUGACGAAACGACAAUCUCUGUUGAUAUGAUUCUCUACUUUUCUCUUUAUUACUUGGUAAACGAUUUGCUACAUUUGCCAUAUCCGACCAUCACAGGGUAUGCAAACAUAGAUGCAUUAUUAUGCAAACUUGCCAUCAUGGAAGUUGGAAUACCAAAAGGUUGUUCCCUAGAUAGAUUAUGCAUGGUUAUGAACCUAUCAUCAAGUCUAGCCCUAACUUGAGGAGAAACAAGAAGGCUAGUAGACACAGGUACACCCGCAGUAAUGGAGGCACAAAGGUCCCCAUUUUUAGUUGUGUCACUACAACAACAAUUGUUGAAACGGUUGUAGGAGCAGUUACUCUCAUUUCCGUCAAAAUUUGCAUAGCCAUGGUUGCUCCCACGACCGUUGAUACACUAGCGCCCAUUGUAGGGGAAGAUGUCUGUGUAGAUUGUGCUUGUGAAGAGGACUAUGGUGAUUGUGAUGACGCAGAAGUACCAGUAUUGGUUGGUCUAGCCAUUUCUUUCAUAGUUUUACCACUUCUUAAAUGCAUGCACAAACAAAUGUAUUUUCAGAAGAAAAAAAAGUUCACCAAAACACUUAACAAUUUCUAAAAACGGUUUUCACAAGAACAGUUAGAAAAUAAUUUAAAAGUUAUGGAAGUUAUUUCCAAAAUUUUGCACAAACAGGGUCCUACUGGGCGUGCCAAUUUGUUUACUGAUGUUUUUGGUAAACAAGAAGGGCUGAUUUGGUUAUUACAAGCAGGAUCAAACCAGAAAUCCUAGGAUAUAUUGUGCAAAGUUUUUUCAGAAAGUGAGUGAGUGUUCAUCAGAUCCAUAAGUUGCUUUAUGAACAAGAUGAAUUUGUGUAGUGUCUUUCGAUAGAAAGAGUAACGAAAAUGCAAGUAAAAGACUUUAAAAGUUUAAAACGCAUAAACUUAAAGAAAAGGUAAAUUGCCUUGCAUUAAUGUAAAGGUGGUUCGACAAAUCAGAUUACAUACAUUUUGUAUGACUCUUUUCUUUAGACGCUGGUACUUCGAGUGCUAGAAUUCUAUAAGUGAUUUGUGACCCAUUUUCCAUAUGAAAAACUACUAUUUAUACAUAGUAAAAUAACUGAAAAAGGCUAACUGCUAUGAUCAGCACUUCUUCCAUCGAAAAUUGAUUGUCCCCCACGUCUUCACUAAGGCAACUGCUGCUUUUGAAUUUGAAUUAUUUCUUCUCCGACAGUAAUUGUUUGACUUCGACGAAUUUACGUCUUGACUCGCAUCUUGUCGAACUUAUAAACUUUUAGAAUCUUCCAAACGCUAAGCCCAGACUUUGUCAAAAUCCUCGUGUUGAAGCAACAAAAAAAAAAAUGAUUCCUGAAAAGACAAAAGUCAACAAAUGUUGACUGCAUUAAUUGAGCCUGUUGAAAUUGCAGGCUAACAAGGGGUUGUUCGGAUUAUAUAAUGCGAAAAAAAUCAAGGAACGAGCCUUAUUUUUUUUUUUAAGUUUUCGAAUUAUAAAAUCCGAAUUGGUGAAGAACUCAUUUUUCGCCCUCGAACAAAGAAAAAACUCAGCUCGAAUUUUAAAAUCCAAAAAUCACAUGGGCAUUUUUGAAAAAAUUACAACGCGCGUGAGAAUGAUAUAGGAUGAGAAAUGUAAUAGUCUCAAAAAAAAAAGUUUAGUUGGGUUGGUCGGGUUAAUUAGGGCUCUGACGGGUCCAAAAUAAACACCUGAACUGAACUUACCCAUAACAGCAUGUAACAAAAGUUUAGUAUUUUAGUUUAAUAUUUUAGUAUUUUUGUUUAAUAUUUUAGUCCCUAUUUUUAUUUUUUUAACAAAAGUUUACGUUUCGUGUUUAGAACGACUUCAGUUUUUAUUAAUUUAUCUAUAACUUUAAAUUAAAGAUUAAAUUUAAGGUUAAAUAGUAAUAUUAUUAAAAUAAUGAUAUUUUAUCAUCUUAUCGAUGAUAUGUCAUCAACAAAAGUCAUUUGAAUACAAAACAUGAACUUUUGAAAACAGAAAAUUUAGAGACAAAAAACGUAAGUAAUUUUUUUAAAAAACCAAAAUAGCCAACCGAACUAGCAACAUGGAGAAAUGGAUUUGAAAUCUUGAGAGGAGCGUCUCGGCCAACACCACCACAACAACCCAACUAUGGUUUUAAGGAAAUUUUUAGAGGACUAAAACUGAAGGUUAAUAUAUUUAUAGAGAAUAAAAACAUAUUUAAUAUUAUAUAAGGUCCAUAAGUUCUAGCUUAACUAACAAAAAUACCUAAAUUGAUAGGUCACAUGGUUUGAACAAAAAUAAAAAGAAUAAAAAAAUAUAACAAUAUUUCUAAAUUCCAAUAAGUGUUAGACAUAUCCUAAUAAAAACUUUUGUAUCCAAAGACAAUCAAUAAAUAAAUGGAAGUAUUACUAAUUUUAAAUCUACUCAUAAGAUGAGUAACACUACAUUAAUAAUUAUGCUAGAUCACUCAUCUAAAAAAAUUCUUAUAGACCACUUUCAAAUUCCUCAUUUUUUUUUUCAAUGUUCAAGUUUCAAAAUUCAGCAAAACCUACCAUCUAUAUCAAUACAUUGAUGUGAAUAUUAUAGUACAAAAUAAUUGGCAUUGAAUUAAUCUUUUUUUUUUUUUUAACAAAUCAAAAUGGAAUAAUUUUUUUUUUAUAAGCAAGGAACGUAGACAGACAUCAAGAGGCAUCAUCGACAUCCCAAUUAGGUUGGCACCUCGAGAGACCUCCAUCCUAUGCCGCCACACUCUAAAAAAUUUAUUAAAAAAGGGGAAAAAAUAAUUACCAAAGGAGGGGGACUAGACCAAAACCCUCAAAAAACGAAAAGAGAAGGAGACAGAAAAUAAACAGAAGAAACAAUAAAAAGCAAUCAAAAAACAUAUCAUGAGGAUCUGUAAUUUGGAAGUCCACAUCUAUCCCUAUAGAAAUCAAGCCUUAAAUCAAUAGGAAGAGUGUCUAGCCAAACUACACCAACACUGGAGUGACCCAUAGAAGCCAACUUAUCUACGCAGCUGUAUCCUUCACGAAAAAUGCGGGAAGAAAUAACCUAAACCUGUAAGUGUUGGGCAUAUACAUAAUUUUUUAAAGCAAUCCGAGAAUGUGUUGGGCAUAUACAUAAUUUUUUAAAGCAAUCCGAGAAUUAAAGUUACUGAUACCUCUAAUAUAAAUGAACAUAAAUGACAAGGUUCGGCUUAUAUAAAGAAAAGUUUAAAAGGAAAGUUUACAACUCACCGUCACCACUCUUUUUGAUAUAUAUAUAUAUAUAUAUAUAUAUAUAUAUAUAUAUAUAUAUAUAUAUAUAUAUAGCAUCACUUUUGUUGAAAUUAUAAAUUUUGAAUUCCAAUAGUAAAAGCCUCAAUUUUCUAUUCAAAAUAAAAGCCUUAACUUUAGCAUAUUUUAAAAUAAUAAUACUUAAAUAUUAUUUUGAUCCCUUCGCUUAUUUUAAAUAUUUAACUUGGUCUCUUAUGUUUAAAAUUGGUGAAUUGAGUCAUUUAACUUAUUUAUAAAGUUCAAUUUCGUCCCUUAAAACCGAUCAUUUUGGUCCUUUAACUUAUGUAAGUCAAUAGAACUUGGUACCUUAACUUAUAAAAAUAUACUAAUCACAUCCAUUUAUUUAGGGAUCAAAUUGCAUUAACUUACAAAAACUAAAAGAUCAAGUUGCACUAACUUACGUCCCAAAUUGAUUGUUAUCAAGUUGCACUAACUCAUCAUAAAAAAAUUGUUUUGUUUAAAUUUUAAAUUUUGAUAGUAGUCAUUAAAAAACCUCAAUUAUUUUAUUCAAAAUAAAAGCCAAAAUUUUGAAAAAUUCUAAAAUAAAAAUAUCAACAACAUGGGAAAAUCAUAUAAUUAUAUAAAUAGUAAUAACAACAAAACUUUUAAGAAAAAUUUAAUGAUACCCAAAAUUAAAUUUGAGCAAUAACCAGUGAUUCUCAAAUUCCAAUUUCACUAAUUUUCUACGAAGUUUUUAUUGCAAAAUAUUUGAAGUAUGUCAUGUCUUUUAAUAGCAUAAUCCACGUAAAUUCCUUUUAAUAACAAAAAUUAUUUAAUGCAUUAUAAUUUUAUAAAGAAUUUUUUUUUUUGACAAGCAAGGAGAGUGGACAAACAUCAAGCGGCAUCAUCGACAUCCCAACUAGGUUGGCACCCCGAGACACCUCCAUCCUAUGCCACCACACUCGAAAAAAUUUAUUAAAAAACGGGAAAAAAUAAUUACAAAAAGAGGGAGGACUAGACCAAAACCCUCAAAAGAAACAGUAAAAAGAAAACAGAGAAACACAAACACAAACAAAAGUCCUCCAAGAACAAAUCAAGGGAAUCUGUAGUUCGGAAUAUAAAGAAAAAUGUACACAUGAAAACUCUCUAAUGAUCAUUGCAUCAUAAUGAUUCUCGAGAUAUAACAUUUAAUGAAGUUGUAAAAAAAUCACAAUAAAUUUCUUUUUAAUAAAAGAAAAUUAUGGUGAGGGAAUGUUGACUUUGUAUAAGGUAGGGAAUUUUGAUUGAGCCAUGCUAUAUGGCACGGCACAACUCACCCACAAACACACACGACACAUUGAAAAACAAGUAACUUGCUUGGUAAAAUUAAAUCUAACACUUCAAUUGGCAAGACUCAAUUCACAUAACACUUCAUCUUGCUUUUUUACUGAAAAAAGUUAUUGGUUUUAUUGUUCCUAAUGAUUUGAAUUGUUUGGUCAAACAAAUUCACCAAAAAAAAUAGAAUCAAUUAACGAAACACCACAUUUUUAAAAAUGUCUAAUAAGCAUGUAUUUUGUCAACUCAAUAUGACACAUAAGUGUUUUUCAAUGGUUAAAUCUCAACAAAGACCAAAAAUGAAAGAAUCUGAAUUAAUACAGGUUUAAUAAAAAAAUAUGGUAUGAAAGCAAACAACUUGAAAAAAGUUAAAUUUAAUAUUUUACAAAACAAUUAGACUAAAUAAAAAAAACGCCACAUCAUUUUAAAAUUUCUAAUAAGAAUGCAUGCAUUUUACCAAAUAGAAGAACACAUCAACAUUUGUCUAUUGUUAGAGUCCACAAAAGAUCAAAAGUGAAUGAAUUUGAAAUAAUAUAGAUUGAAUAAAAAAUAAUAUGCAUGAAAGUGAAUGACAUCCAAUUACUAAAAUUUAAGAUAAAAAAAUUAAACAAAUGACAUCCAAAAACUAACAAAACAAUUAUCAUAAUGAUGGGGCUUUCGAAGGAUUCUAUAUUAGGAUGGAUGAUCAUACUAGACCAAUAGCAACCACAUAGGUGAUAUAAACAUCACAUCUUCACACAAAAUCUCAAAGCUAUAUGUAUAUGAGUCAUCUCACUUAUAUAUUGUUCAAAAUAUAUUCUUUCUUCCAAUAUGUAGACCAUUAACUCACACUUGAUACAUUAACAUCUUUUAAUCAAGUGUACGACUAUUUGUGUCUGUAAUUAUGUAACAUAAUCAUAUAAGUUCAACAAGAGUUACAACAUUUUCAAAAAGGUGGAUUGAUAGUAAUUUCUCAGAGCUAGGUUUAUGGUCCUUUUUUUUCUUGAGAAAAGAGAAAGAAAAUUAGAAGAAACAAAAUGAAUAAGAAAAAGAAAUUUAAACAUGGGAGAUAUUAUAAGGGAAAGAAAUAUGUAGUGUGUUUUGUCUAUGAGAUUGUAGGAAAUAGAGUGAGUUGCCAGUAUUUUUAUGGUUUCGAUAAAGGAGUUGGAGAUUUUUGGAUAAUUAUUUUACCAAAAAGUUAGACUUAAUUUAAAAAAAAAAAAAACACAUCAUUUUAAAAUGUUUAACAAACAUGUGUUUUGUCCACUUAGAAUAAACAUCUGCAUUUUCCGUUGUCACAUCCCACUAAAGAUCAAAACGGAAGCAAUUUAAAAUAAUACAGGUUGAAAAGACAAAAUAGCAUGAAAAAGAAUGGUAUCCAAAAAAUAAAAUUAAAGAUAUAAAUUGACAUCACAUCUUCCCCAUGACGACAUUAGUUUUUAAGUCUUGCCACUCAUUUUUCUCAACAUCUAAUCUUGCAUCCAAUAUAUUUUUGAUUAAUAUCUUGAAUCCAAUAUAGAAUGUUAACUCCAAUAUGACAAAUUAACAUCUCUCUAAAGUGUGAGACUAUAUGAAUCUGUGAUCUGUUGACAUAGCUAAAUAAGCUCAUACUGAGACACAACAUAGUAAAAAAAAAUGUGGGUUGGUGGUGGUUUCAUGGAGGAAGAUUUAUUUUAUUUUCUUUUUUUGACGGGAUGGAAGGAGAUUUAUGUUUCUUUCUUACAAGAAAAUAGAAAAAAUAAAGUAGAAAUAGAAAUAAGAUAAAAAAAAGUAUUUUAACAUGAGAUAAACGAUGAGGAAAAAAAGAGAGUGUGUGCUUUAUUCGUGAGUGAAUAUGAAAUAGAGUGAGUUGUUGAUAAUUUUACAGUUUUGUUGAAGGAGUUGGAGAUUUUGGGGUAGUUAUUUUAGCAAAAAAAACUUAUUAGACGAAUGCUAUAUCAUUUUAAAAUUUCUAAUAAACAUGUAUUUUUUCCACUCAGUCGAACAUAUCCACACUUUUCCAUUGUCAGACUCCACCAAAAACCAAACGUGAAGAAAUAUGAAAUAAUGGAAGUUGAAUAAAAAAAUAUAACAUGAAAGUGAUGACAUCCAAAAACUAAAAUUUAAUAUAAGAAAAAAUAAAUGACACUAAAAAACUAACAAAAAGUUCGUCAUAAUUUUGAGACUCUCAGGGGGCUUCUACAAUGAGUUUGAUCAUCGCAUUAGCCUAUAAACCAUGCAAGUGAGGUUCAUAGAUCUUAACCAAAAACCUUAAAACAUCAGAUAUAUGGGUCAUCUUAUUUAUAUGUUGUUUAAAUUAUACUCUUCCAUCAUAUAUAGAAUUUAACCCACAUUUCACACAUUAACAUCUCUUAAUCAAGUAUACAACUCUUUGCGUCUAUAACUAUGUGACAUAGUCAAAGAAAAGGUUAAACAUAAGCACAUGUUCAUAAAGGUUGGUUGGUGGUGAUUUUCUGAAGGAAGAUUUAUGUUCAUUUCUUUCAUGAGAAGAGAUAAAGGAAUUUAGAAUGAAAAAAUGAAUUUGAACAUGAGAGAAAAUAAGAGUAAAAAAUAAUUAUUGUGUAUUUUCUGUGAGAGCAUACAAAAUAGUGUGAAUUUUAUGUAAUUUUAUGGGUUUGUUGAUGGAGUUGGAGGUUUUAUAGUGAUUAUUUUAAAACAAAAAAAAAAAAUUAAACUCGGUUAAAAAAGCAUCACAUAAUUUUAAAUGUCUAUCAAGUAUGUAAUUUGUCAACUCUUGCAUCGGAUGCGGAACUUUCACCCACACUUGACCAUUUAACAUCUCUACAUUAAGUAUAACACUCUCCGCACUGUGAUCUACCACCAGGAAACACUCUCACUUGCCCACAAAGUUGAAUCUAAAUAUGAUACUACCGUUGGACUUUUUGAGGGAUCAGACACUUUUGUGGAUAAACCCAUUGGAGAGAGCAAUCACACAAGUGAGGGCAUUAAGUGUGAGGGUUUCUCACUUAUAUGUUGUUAAAUUUCACCACUUCUAUUCAACGUUGGAUUGUAACCGACAUUUGAUACAUCACAACAUUCUCUCUUUUAAGUAUGGGGAAAUUAAGAAAACAUGCUUUAGCAUCCACGCCUACAGGUGUUCACGGGAUGGGUCAGUUUUCAUUGUAAUAUAUAUUACCCGAUGCAAUCAAGUAUCAUUAGGUUGGAUCAAUAAAUAAUUACACGUAACUUUUUAAAGGGGUUAAUUAUAUGGAAAACAUUGUCGGCUUAUGUUAGAUUGAAGGGGUGAAUUGUAUUGAAUGUUGCAGCCAGCGGUAUAACGGCUCUUCUAUUAUCAUGUGGAAGAACCGCACACUUGAUGUUGACAGUCCCUAUCGAGAUUAAUGAGGCAUCAUCGCUUACGAUGAAAAAGGAUAGUCGUAGGGCAGACCUGGUGCGUGCUGCAAAGUUGAUAAUUUGGAAUGAGGCUCUAAUGAUGCACCAAUGGUGUUUUGAGGCAGUUGACUCAUCAAUGCAUAUAUUGCUUGUUGUCCGAAAAGGAACGAGGCAGGAUAUUGUUGAUGCCUCAAUCAAUUCAUCAAAGAUAUGAGCUUAUUGUAAUGUGUUAAGGCUUAUUGUUAAUAUGAGAUUGGGUGCAUCUUCGAUACCUGUAGAGCAGGAAGAAAUUGCUAAUUUUUGCAAGUGGAUACUCUCAAUUGGAGACGGCAACGACGCUUCAGAUGAGAAUGGUAAAAUGAAGGUAGAAAUUCCUGAAUAUUCGCUCAUAUUGGACACAACAAAUCCGUUGAUGUCACUUAUAGACUUUGUGUAUCCCGAUUUGAAUGAUAACCUUGGUGACCCGCUAUUUUUCCAAGAAAGGGGAAUACUCGCUCCAACGCUUGAUUCAAUUGAGCAUGUUAACGAAUAUAUGAUGUCACUGAUUCCAGGUGAAGAGAAAGAGUAUUUAAGCUAUGAUUUUGUUUGUCGAUCGGGUGAAAAUUUUGAUGUCCAAAGUGAGUGGUUCACAACGGAAUUUCUUAAUGGUAUUAAGAGCUCUGGAAUUCCAAAUCACCGGUUGAAACUAAGGGUGGGAUGUCCAGUUAUGCUGAUGAGAAACAUCGAUCAGGUCAAUGGACUGUGUAAUGGUACGAGGCUAACAGUUACACAUCUAGGGAAGACCACGAUUGCUGCUAACGUAAUUACAUGAAAAAGGGAAAGUACCAGGGUGUUCAUUCCUUGGAUGAAUCUUAUUCUGAGUGAUCCAGGACUACCCUUCAAAUUCAGGCGCAUGCAAUUUCCAUUGACGUUUUGUUUUGCAAUGACGAUAAAUAAAAGUCAGGGUCAAUCUUUAUCUCGAGUGGGAGUUUAUCUUCCUAAGCCCGUGUUCACGCAUGGACAACUCUAUGUCAUUGUCUCUCGAGUUACUUCUAGAAAAGGUUUGAAGCUGCUCAUCUUGGAUGAAUAUAAUAAUGUUUGCAAGGAGACCACAUAUGUUGUGUGUCGUGAAGUUUUUCAAAAAGUAUGAUCAUUGGUUAUGUUUUAGAAUUGUUGUUGCUAUAAUUUAGAAAACUAAAGUUGUGCAUUGUUUGGAAGUCAUUUUUUUAAUUUCUUUGUAAGGCGUACUGGUCAUUACAGGACAUGCAAUUUCUAUAUAAGCAGAUCCUCCUGCCAUUGACUUUUAAAUGAUGCACUUUUCAGGUAUAACAAUACGCGAAACUAUUUUUUUUUUACAUCGUUGUUAACCUAAAAUACAAUAUUUGCAUUAGACCAUUGAUUUUGUAAUAAAACAAAUAACAAUCGGCGUUUCAGUAGCCCAAACUUAUACACACCCGUAAAAAAUUUAACGUUUGCAUUCACAAAUUAGGUGUAUACAUCUUGUGCUCGUGAUUUUCGGAUAUCAAACCAUUAAUUGAUUUAAAUCGUCAAUCUUUGAACUCUCGAUUUUUAUUCGUGGGAAGGGAAAAAAUGAGUAAAAACCCUUAUCGAGACUUUGGAUUCGGGGGUUGGUUACAUGAAGGGAAGGUGCUAGCACCCUAAGCGUCUACGGUAUUCCGUAGGAACCUCUUACCUAAUUUACCUUGUGCUAAAUUGAUUUGCUUAUUUGAAAAUUAUUACCUAAAAGUCUAAGUGAAAGAAUGGAGGGAGAAGAAGUAUGUUUUUGGUUAUUUUUAUUUGAAUUGGAAGGAUAAAAAUCCUAUGCCUACAUACCCUUAAAGAAAAGGGAUCAAAACCAAUGUAGUUCACCUAAAAAGUUUCUUUUUGGUGGGUUAGGUUGAUUUUAAGAUUUUUUUGAAAAUGAGUUUUUAGAAGAGAAAGAGGCCUCAAGGCAUGAGAUAAAAUAAGGUGAGGUUGGUCAAAUUUUAAUUACAAAGAAAUCAAGUCUAUUAUGAAUAUUAAUUCAAUUAAGCAUUUGAUUAAGAAAAUAAAAAGGAAAACACUUGGGUUACAAACCAAGGUUUAUUAAGAAAAUACUUUUGGAGUUUUGCAUAUUUGAUUUUUUUUGAAAAAAAUAUAUUUUUUAAACUAACAGUAAAACUAGCAUAACGGCAUAACGUCACAAGAAGUAAACGUGAAGUGUCGGUGCAUGUGUCGGUGCGUUGUGUUAUUACAUAUCAAUUCCUAGAUACAUUCUAUGGUCUCAAGAGAAAUAUAAUAGAAGAAAUAAAACGCGCAAAAUAAAUUACAUCAAUUUCCUAAUUAUACACGCUAAAUAAUACCAAUAAAAUAAAAUGACAAAGUUAAACAUGCAUGAGAUGAUUCAAAUAUACUAUAUCAAUAAUAUAAUGAAAAUAAAAUAACAAAACAGUAAAUAGACAAUCAACACAAAGCAAAAUAUUUUUGUAAACUUUUGGAGUAAUUUUUUUUGUAAGUGAAGGAGGUGCAGAAAGUAAAAACAAAGGUGUAAAAAGGAAAACAGUAGUGAAAUUUAAAAACAAUUGGGCUCAGACUGGAUAGAUAUGGACCGUCUGAUGAAUCCGAAGGUCUAGAUCUAAUCACAGGAAGUCUCAUCACAGCCACUGGAUCAGUGAUCCAACGGUUUAAAAAAAAACAGCACAAAAGCAUAGAAAUAACACAGGAGGCACAGUGACCAUCUGAUCAUGGAACUAUCCAGAUCCAACUGCUAGAAACAACAAGGCACAUGGAAUGGGAUAAGAGAAAUAACAUGGGAAAAUAAAAGGAAUAGAGACUAUAAAACGUAAAACAACAGCAUAUUACUCAUUUGGUUUCUUCUCUUCUCUUUCUAAACACAAAUGCUUCCUUCUCUCUACACUCAAAAACAACACCGCCCCCUUAUAUCAUCUUCUCCGGCGAGACAGUGUUUUCCGGCGCGAUGGCCGGUGGUGGCACCACCGCGCCGGAGUUUCAAACUCCUCUAAAUCAAAAAAGUUUUUACGUUUUUAAACAUCCUUUUCUUCAUACUUUUCGAAAAUCUACUUAGUUUUCACAAACAAACAACCAAAACUUCUAGAUCUAAACUUUAAAGAUCGGUUUCAAACUUUUUCCAUCUCUCAACCGUUUUCCAAAAAAAGAAACUCACAUCUCAUACAGAUUUAGGAAGUAAAAUGCAAAGGAGAAGAAAGAACAAAGUGAUACUGGUUACCUCUUUAGAUCGGUUACGAUCUUGGAGGUUAUACUUCUGAGAAAAAUAAAAAAACGUUCUUCCUUGCUCAAAACGGUUCGGAUUUAUUUCGAUUCACGCUCCAUUUUGAUCCGAUUCACGCUCCAAUCUCCUUCUCCAAUUCCGGUUGAAUUAUGGCUUGAAUGUGUUGGAUUUACGGUUCCGUCGAUUUGGUUGUGUUGUUAAUUUGGAAUCUUUUGUAUUUUUUGUGGUGAAAUCAUGAUGCUGGAAUUUUAGUGUUCAUAGUGUUCUUGAGAAACUAGAUGAUUUUUUGUGUCUGAUUUUAGAAAUCGGAGAGAGAAAUGAAAUUAGGGUUGGGGUGUUGACUGCUGCGGCUGAAGAAGUCUCUGUGUAAGUUUGUGCGGCUAGGGUUUGCUCAUCCUCCUUCUCUUUUUUUGCAGGUUUUAAUUUAUACCACUAGGGUUGAAGGGAAAAAGGAAACAACAUACUGGAUUUGGAAACAAAAGUUUGACAAUCUGCCUGAAUAUGAGGCGUGUAAAAAAUAUUUUUUGGACCCCUGCUGAGAUUUUUCUGACUCAUUGACAUUAUAGCACAAAACAAAAAUAAACUAUUAAAUAUAUAAAAAGAGUAACUAAUUUUAAAAUUAAAACUAAUAAAAGAUGGAAAUUAAACACUGAAAUAAAAAGAAAAUAAAGAGGAAAGAGGGCCCGGCUCGGAAUACUUCUCUGCCGAAAUUUCGUCUGAAACGACGAAAAUUCCCGACUUUAAAAAUAUGAAUAAAAUGGGUAAGAAUAGAGAAAAGUGGUCAAAAUUUGGGGUAUGACACAUCUGAAGUUGACUAUUAUAUAAAAAAAAAUACAAUUUUUUUUGUUUUUAUGAUUAAUAAAAUACAUUAUAUCAACAAAUAAUAAUAUACAGUACUUCGGCGUAUUUUUGCAAAAAUAUUACAUAUGUUAAGUUUAACAAUGAGUACAUCUUAUAGUACAAAUAAUUAGUAUAAGUAUAAAUCCAAUACUUUAAUCGUUAUGUGCAAUGUUUAGAUAUUUCAAAAUAUAUACAAAAUUAACAAGAUGAUAUUUUUUUCCAUAUCAAAUUUAAAUUAUAACCACAGUUAUAACUUUAAGAUAACAUAAUAUAAAAUAUAUUAAAAAGUGUUUUAUUUCCGUGUUUGGCACGGGUCACUAUACUAGCAUCAAGUGAAACUUGACCCAUGUAUAAUGUGUUAUCCACUUCUUAUUAUUAUUAUUAUUAUUUUUUUUUAGAAAUGCUAUGGACAAACUCUCAAGCACACUCUUUUGAACACACCCUCAAUCAUUGGUCCACAUCACCCCUUUUUUAAAAUCACUUAACUGGAUACUAGCUUAGCCUAUAAGUAAAACAAGGUUAAUCGUUCUUUACCCCCUGUAAUAUAGGUCAUUUUUUGUUUUCCCCCUUGUAAAAUAAUUUUUUUGAUUUACCCCCCUAUAAUUUUUUUUUAAAAAAAAUAUUAUACAGGAGGUAAAUAAAAAAAAAUAUUUUACAGGGGAAAACAAAAAAUGACCUAUAUUACAGGGGGUAAAACACCAUUAACCCAUAAAACAAGAGAAUUGCUGUUCCCACAUUACAUAAGGCUGUGCCACACGAAUAAAUGACGUUUUUGCUCCUGCGGUAGUUAACUACUGAAGUUUGGAACCGGCUGCAGUUAACUACCGAAGUUUCUUCGGCAGUUAACUGCCGACGAAAAACGAUAAAAAAAAAAAAAAAAAACCUCGGCACUUAAGUGCCGAAGAACUCAUAAUAUUUUUUUUUUCAAGAUUCUCUUAGCAUAAGUGAAAGAUAAAAAGUUUAUUAUUUGGCCCAUGCUUGCUGAAUGCAGACAAAUCUUUAUAUAUAUGAUAUUUUAAUUUCUUUGCUUGUUUUUGAUGAUAGACCCUACUUUCUUUGUCAUUCAUCAUAUACGUGCUAUUUAUUUGGACAUAAAUUAUCUUUAUUUGUUUACGAGUUUUUUUCAUUAAUUAUGGUGUAUGCAGGAAGCUGGAGUUCAUGUAAUAUGUACCUUGAUAAAAAAAAAAAAAAUUUAUGAGUUCUUCGGCACUUAAGUGUCGAGGUUUUUUUUUUUUUUUUUUUUUUCGUUUUUUCGUCGGCAGUUAACUGUCGAAGGAAGGAAUUUCGGUAGUUAACUGCCGCCAGUUCCAAACUUCGGUAGUUAACUACCGCAGGGGCAAAAACGUCAUUUACACGUGUGGCAUAGCCUUAUGUGAUGUGGGAACAACAAUUCUCAUAAAACAAACUGUUCUAAUAAACUUCAUCCUUUCCCAACCCACCGUCAAUGACCUUCUUUGUUCCGAAUUUCCACCUAACCAUUAACACCUCUUGAAUAUCAAUUUUUGAUCAAUUUCAUUCAGUUUUCCUGAGAGGUUGAAAGGUACCACUGAUGUUCUUUUUGAGCGAUGACAAAGUGUUCGAAAUAAUUUAAAUCUUCAAUUACUCGUGAUGCUUGUCAAAUACAGGAAUUCAUGAGAAUAGCACAUAACCUAUUUUAUUUAACUAGGCAAAACAUUUAACCAUCGACUCUAUGACAUAACCAUAAAUUGAAUAGUGUCUUGUGGGUCUAUGGGUAAAGAGAAAUCGUGUUGUGAAGAUAAGCAUUUUUUUUUUUUUUGGUCAAGUAGCCUAGAAGAUAAGCAUUUUAGUGUGUUGCUUUUGUAAUACAUACAAGUGCUUCUGGUUCAGCUUUGUUUUUUCUACUAUUGAUUUGGUGUCGACUUCUUAUUUGUUCUCCAUGUCCUUUUACAAGUAGUUCUAGGCUUCUAGCAUCCAAAAAAACCAUGUUUCCUUCCUUUUUUUUGAAGAAACAAAAAUGGUAUAUAUUAACAAAGGCGGUAAAACCUCCUAAGUACAAGAUGUACUAAGAAGUCACCCCUCAAAGAGUCAAACAAAUGUAGUAAUUACAAUAAACCGGGUGCGUCGAUACCUAAACAAAGCAUAGGAUCCGACCACCACCUUUGAGAACCGUACACAAAUGUGGCUUUACUAGCUUUUAGCCACCAUAAAGAGUGUAAUUUUACUUUUUCUGAUAAGCCUUCAAUGGAUGUUUGGGUAUUAUUAAAAAGUCUGUUGUUGCGUUCAUUCCAAACCAUCCACACACAAAGUAACCAAAUGAGCUGCAGAAAGGAUCUACGCGCCCUCGUAUGACCCGUACUAGUAAUAAACUGAAUAAAGUGGUCACUAAGAUCAUGGGAAUCAGCUUCGGACACGCCAAUCCACGUUUCAACUAUACGUUUCAACAUCAGAAGAAUAAGAAGACCAAGUUUUAGUCAAGAGUAGAUUAUUUAUCCUUUAGAUUGUACAAUGCAUGUUCAAUCUCUGUGGUUGUGAAUUUUUAAUGAUUUUAAGAACAAUCUUAAGUACUAAGUUAAAAGUUAGGCUCAUCACUAAAUGUUACAGCAAAAACAGGACUUUCCAUCUAUAUAAUUUCUUUCCAUUAUAAAAUAUAUAUUUUGAUAAUCCAAACCUAUACUUCACAUGUUAUUGUUGGUGCUCCCCAAGUAUACCUGUCCGUAAUUGUCGGUUAAUGUCAUCAAAUUGGUCUUAAGUAGACGAAAUUGAUUGCAUUGCUCGACAUAUAUGUGUCAAUCUGAUGUAACCUAUAAUGGUGUGGUCUAACGUGAUCGUGCUAAACUUUUGUCGACUAGAAUGCAUGUUCACUCUGCUUAAUAUAUUGACAUCUUCAUUCACACUUGUGUUAUAUCAAUCUUUGCUUUUAGUCUCAGUAUAUUUUUGUUUUGCAUUUAGUCCUUUUUUGGCUUUAAUCUUUCAAAUAUUUGUCUAAUGUUUGGUAGGGAGCUUCUAUGAUGAACUCAGGAAAAUGACUUCUUCGGUGAAGUCGUUUGAAUGGGCCAAUCAGAUUUUAAAUGAUGACACGUCAAAAACCCUAAUCAUGUUCCAGUGUAGUGCGGUCUACGGUAGCGUAAGUGAAGGAAAACUUUAUUUUAUGAUUUUAAUGGUUAGAUUUACUUGAUCUCUAUGUUAUUGUGGUACACCAUCUACACAUGAUUUUUCUUCUAGUACCAAUUUUCUCUCCUCUUUAUUUUUCUUUCUUUAUUUAUUCAUAUUCUCUCUCUUCCAGAUUUUUAUUAAAUCAACAUCUUCAUCUUUCCUUCAUCUUCUUCGUAUCAUAUCUUCAUCAACUUAUUCAUCAUCUUCAUGAGAGAAAAAAUAAAAAAAACCCAAAAAAAAAAAAAAAAAAUGAAAUUACAUAAUAAAAAAAAAUGUAGAUAUAACAUGCUUAUAUAUAUUAUAUAUAAUAUAUUUCGAUUUUAGACAUUAAAAGAUAGAUGAUAUGGUGGUUACAAUUUUGAUUUUGCACACCUACUUCCCUCUCAAAGCUCAGACCUCCCUCCCAUUCAACACUUCUUUUUGAAUUAAAUUAAAAAUAAAAUACUUUAUACUCAAUAUCUUAAAUUGUUUUAAAUUUUGCAUAAUUUUUUUUAGAAUAUUAUAGGUUGCACACAAUAUUAUGGAAACUUAUUUAUCUUAUACAAUUUUAAAAAAUGUUUAUAAUUAAUAAAAUAUAUUUAAUCACUGUCUAAAAAAUUAUAUUUAAAUAAAACAUAUGAUAAUAAUUAUCUUAUAUUAAAGAUAUGAAUAAUAUUUAUCUUUUUUUUCCAUGAUUCAACCACAUACAAUUAAUGCCUAAAAAAAUGUCAAUCUCUUACUCUCCAAAUUAACUUGUCAUUAUUUAAUAUAAAAUCUUUUUUUCAAGAAAAAGACUUCCUUUUAAAAAUUUAAAAGUGUAUAAUAUAUAAAAAAAACUUAUGCAUUAAAGUAAAUUUUUGUGUGAUGUUUUUGAUUUUUUUUUUUUUUUUCUGAAACGUAAGAUGUUUUCGAUAUCGUUAUUAACGCAAAUUUCCGAGCUAAUUAGCCAUUUUCGAUACUGUUUUUAAAUAAAUUUUCGAUGCCAAUAUUUCUUCUUUAAAAAAAUAUAAUAAUUUUUAUUCUGCAAUCACACUUAAUACGUAUUUAAUGCUAGCUGUAUAAAUUGAAUCACACUUAAUACGUUUUUAAUGCUUUUUUUUUAAGAAGAAACGGAAAUGCUAGUUUUUUUUAGGGCGUUUUAAUGGUAAUUAUUACUUAUUAGUACGUUUUUAAUGUUAACAUUUUCCUAUUAAGCCAAAAAAAUAAGUUAGAGUACCUAAGGUUCAAUUAAGCCUAAAAACUAUUAAGACGAAAAUGAUGAUUAUAUAAAUUGUUUUAAAUUAAAAUUGAAAAAAUGGAUUGGGUUAAAGUCACCAUGUUUACGAUAAUUAUAUUUUUCCUCUCAAUUCACGUCGUUGAUACUUUAACCAAUAUUGUUGCCCCAUAAACGAGUACUCGCUGAACCAAUAACAUGAUGGACAUACUAAUUUUCAGCCUGACCACAUCACUUCUUUUGUGCAUCUAUCAUAGAGAUUUGUCGUCUCAAUUUGAUAAAAAAAAUUACUUUUUAAUUGCUGGAAAUUAACUAAAAGCAUAGCUGCUCUUGAUUCAAUCUGUAUAAUUCUGCAACUAAUCCACUGAGAGUAUAUAUUGUCGCAUAGCAGCCGCAAUUAACACUCUACUUGUCCAUCAAGAGUUGGAUUUAAAUUAGGGUAAUUGACUUUUGUGUUGAUUAGAAAAUGGAGAUGAAGAAAAUAUUGAGAUUCAUGUUAUUUGGAGAUGUAUUUGAGUAGUUAUUUUGUUUUUUGUUCAAUAAAGAAGAUGAUGAAGGUAUGAAGAUGGCGAUGAUGUUCAUAAUCUUCCUUGGUUUAUUUAUUUUUAAUAAUGAAAUAUUUUUUUAUAAAAAGGUUUAUUUAAAUAUUUUUUGAAAUAGAAGGAAGAAAAAAUCAAAAAGGAGAUUAUGAACACAAUAACACUAGUGAAUUGCUUAAUCUGAUAGUUCAAAAAAGCUAGUCUACGGUGGUACAUAUUGAGCAGAUACACGGUAUAUACCAUACAACAGUCAACACACAUGACAUCAUUCAACAAUGUGGCGCAUUAUUAUUGGAUGUAGGAUAACUUCUCUGAAAAAGUCAAUUUAAUGACUUCACCAUAGAAUUUUCCAUGUUUGGAAUUAGACCUUAUAUACUCCAUAUAAUUUAGGUACUAAGAUCAAUAAGGUCUACAUAUUACAAGACUUUAAUCAACAAGAACUAAAAUUAAAAUAACAAGGACCAAACACAAAAUUGUGUACGAAUCACGGACUAGAAAAACAAAUUACAAGGACUAAAGGUGAAAUUGAAAUAUUUAAGGAUAUCUAUCCCUAUCACGAUAUUUAAAUACCUUCUUGAUAUUUCAGUUAAUACAUUUCUUUAUCCUUUAUAGCUAAUGAUAUUCUACCACUUUUUUUUGCACUUGAUACAAGUUAUGCGAGUCUGUUUUGUCCACUUUCUCCAUCCCUCUCUAUCAAAAUGAUAUAAAAGGAAGGCGAGCUUGCUUCUUAUUAUCGUGUUCGAUCUCACCACGAUCAUCAAUCGACUCCACACACAGUAAUAAAACCUUUUUCAACUUUGAUAACUACUUAUAUGUUUAUUCAGUUAUGCGAUUCUAACCAACCAGUUUUGUUCUAGGUGAUUCUGUAAUAAACUAUUCCACCUGAUACUCAAUGGACAUCACCAAACCAUAGGUGGUUGCACCUUAUGGUGCUUGUGAUGAGUGACCUAACCUUAUUGUAAUGUACAUUAUAACCUUCUCGUGUUGCAAAUAGAUGGAGAUUCACCUUCUUCGAUGAUGGUGUCUUUAUGCCUUAAUUUCAGUGCUAACGGGCGUCUAUCAUGCAGAACUUAGUGUACAGGGUUUGAUAUCUAUUAUGUACCUUGAGGAAAGGUUCACUUGUUGUGAUAUAUAUUGUGAAGCCAUGUUGAAUGUUUGUAAAUUAGAAGAUGCCCAGGUUGGCAAAUUAGAAGAAAAAUGUGUCAUCACUUGUGGCAACUUCAGACCCUUUUUCCUCAAUUCUCUUGUUUUUUUUAACCACUUUUGUUAUGCCUUGUCUUCAAGUUCC
Molecule: long non-coding RNA, 22382 nt
Filed under: Medicago truncatula (barrel medic)
Lineage: Eukaryota; Viridiplantae; Streptophyta; Magnoliopsida; Fabales; Fabaceae
Description: long non-coding RNA (MTRU_LNC008330)
Source: RNAcentral